RNAcentral lists this ribosomal RNA (253 nucleotides) under uncultured bacterium. RNAcentral's name for it is "partial 16S ribosomal RNA". It matches the Rfam family "Bacterial small subunit ribosomal RNA", at positions 524 to 776 of the family's 1533-position model. The record is from RNAcentral.
UACGUAGGGCGCAAGCGUUGUCCGGAAUUAUUGGGCGUAAAGAGCUCGUAGGCGGCCUGUCGCGUCUGCUGUGAAAUCCCGGGGCUUAACCCCGGGCGUGCAGUGGAUACGGGCUGGCUGGAGGCAGGCAGGGGAGAACGGAAUUCCCGGUGUAGCGGUGAAAUGCGCAGAUAUCGGGAGGAACACCGGUGGCGAAGGCGGUUCUCUGGGCCUGGUCUGACGCUGAGGAGCGAAAGCGUGGGGAGCGAUCCGG